Molecule: unclassified non-coding RNA, 355 nt
Filed under: Hevea brasiliensis (rubber tree)
Lineage: Eukaryota; Viridiplantae; Streptophyta; Magnoliopsida; Malpighiales; Euphorbiaceae
Source: RNAcentral
GGGAGUGUGACACAGCUUGUUAAAAAAAAGAAGCAGCGUUGUGAACAAGACAUAUAGACAAAAUCCAGCCUCCAAAUAAGGAGAUUUAUCAAUGGAUGAACGGCUAUUGUUCUUUUAAAAUUUGCAUUUAACAGAUUGCAAAGGCUUCAGAAGGGAUAAUUUAUUGGCUCAGGUUGCAGGGCUUUUUGCAGAAGUUCGGUCUGCUCCUUAACAUGCACUUGGUAGAAACCAGUAGCUGUUGCAGCAGAUGGAGCACGUCCAACAUAGUUGAUGUCCUCAAAAGAUCCUCUUCCCAGUGCUUUCAUGGCAGUGCAAAGACGGGGUGCAAUGUAAUUGUAUGCACCCAUGUUCAUUG